GGGGAGAGCAACAGCGUGAGAGGAGCUGGGGGGGAGGAGCAGUAGCCGCUACUGGGGCGGCGGCGGCUGUAGCAUCCCUAGCAUCUGUAGCAGCAGCAACAACAACGACAACAACAACAAUCCGGUCUCCAUGACAACGAUGUAGCUCUUCCCAACUGCAGGGCCUGAUCAGCUGCACGGUGCCAGGGCGCGACUGUAGGGCUAGGGACCUGGAGGGCAAACAAUGCAUCCCUCCUAGCCAGAGGGGUUCCUCCGGAGCGGGUCGGAGAAGCUUGGCGUGCAAGUUGAGGGCGAUGGGGAGGGACGAGGUUCUUCUACCUCUCACCUGUCUCCCAGACUUCUUUGGAUCCUUUUUUCCACCUCCUUCCUCUCUCCUCUCCAGAGUCCUUCGCCACUUUUAAUGAAACUCUGCCAGACUCUUCUCUCGUACCUUCUCCCAUAGUGGUGCUGAUCGGACACAUUUAUUUUGUGAAUAUCUGGGAUGCCCCUCUCAUGUUUGAUUGAAAAGUCAAAACCAAGGUCUGCCUAGAGUAGUUUCAGCUACUGCCCCUCAGAGCCACUGCUGGAGUGAUUUUUGCCUGACCUUAUGCCUGGAGGAGGAGGCUAAUUUUCUGGAUCUGAUUUUUCCCAAUGACAAUUGAAGCAACAUGCUUUGAAGUCUUCCUACAAGAAAUAGUCCAGCAUAUGUGCCUGUUUCCACUCCAUUUCUCUCUUACCCACUUGAGGACAGUUUGAAUCAUUUUUUAAAGACCUCAGUACUAGACUGUGUUUUAGGUAAUUUGAAUUUUAUCUUUCAUUUUUCCACUCAUGGUUUCCUCUACCCUUUGUACUUAGUCUCUCAGAGAGUCUAGCACAUGGCAAAGUUCACAUUACCUCACCUUUCUUAUGGCCCUGGCCAAGAGCCAUAUUGCAGAGCCUAGAUAUAGAGAAGUCCUAGAAAUAGAAAACUUGUUUUGUCCUAGGUGUUUGAAUUGGUUAGUAAGAAAAAGCUACUCAUGUACAUUAUUUUGUAUAUUAAAAUAUCUGUAAUUUAAAAACUCUAA
This is a non-coding RNA of Monodelphis domestica (gray short-tailed opossum), 1043 nucleotides long. NCBI's taxonomy places the organism in Eukaryota, Metazoa, Chordata, Mammalia, Didelphimorphia, Didelphidae. The record is from RefSeq and is a predicted model, not a curated record.